This 338-nucleotide long non-coding RNA is filed under the name Triticum aestivum (bread wheat). Its description in RNAcentral is "long non-coding RNA (TAES_LNC022730)". The record is from RNAcentral. Lineage: Eukaryota; Viridiplantae; Streptophyta; Magnoliopsida; Poales; Poaceae.
UGAAGAGGAGUUUGAAGAAUCAAGUGUCAAUGGGAACUUCUGGGGUCGCUGUCCUUUUUGGGGUUUUGAAAGUGGAAAAGAAUAAGUCAUUUAAUUUUUGUCGUGCUUGACUCUCAUUUUGUUCGAGGUAGAAGAUUGGAGAUAAUCUUUGUCAACAAAGGUUUACUCCGCGUGAAGCUAUUGGUUACCACCUUUGCUGUAGGUUUCUUUUUGCUUCUUUCUUUUGCCGUUUCGUGUCAAAACAAAACCUGUCAAAAAAUUAUGCUAACUGACUAUUGCUCUUGAGUCCUGGAUUGGAUCCUUGUGUCCAGUUGUUCGUUUCCUGGAGCAGGAUAAUC